AGAAUGUGGCGAUCCUGCAAAAUUACAAGGGUGCUUAAACGAUUGCCAACAAUAUGACCCAUCAUUUUGGGAUAAAUGUAGAAGCGACUGUUACUUUUUGUACGGCCCAUAGAAAUAACGAGGAGUGAAAAAGAAUAUGCAAAUUCGUAGAUACGAAUCAGCUUUAAAGCAUAAAAAUGUAACUUCAU
Ceratosolen solmsi marchali is the source of this 188-nucleotide long non-coding RNA. RefSeq lists it as uncharacterized. The record is from RefSeq and is a predicted model, not a curated record. NCBI's taxonomy places the organism in Eukaryota, Metazoa, Arthropoda, Insecta, Hymenoptera, Agaonidae. The transcript is spliced from 3 exons.